AAGAGGAACUCAGGGUUCUCCCGGAGAAGCGGCGGCGGCGGCUCCUCCAAGUCGGUGAGGCUGAUGUCGAGCCCUGAUCGCGAUAUGUCGUCCAGAGAGAAUGCAGUGACUCUGCUUGAUGCUUGUCAUACUGACUGACCUGGUCUGUUGUUUUGGAGCACCAUUGUUCCAACUCCUGCAAGCCAGCCUUGACAAAUUCUGCAUUGCUAAAUGAACAGCAUUCUCGGCGGAGUAGCAAGCUGCUGAUCACGGAGCAACUGAUUCUCUGACUCCAAUGUGCUGAUCUUGUUUUCAAGGCUGGAGGAUAAUUGCAAUACAUAAGUCAAGCUCAUUAGGAAUACAUUUUAGAGAGAACUCUCUGCACAAAAAGAAGGAAACAGAUGUACCAUGCUUCAUCAAGUAGCGCAAUUAUUCCUCCUGGUUUCUGCAUUCAAACGAUAAGAAUCAGGACAUAAAUUAUCAUAAUGGGUAUCACAUGAAUGCUGAGUAGGAAGUGCAUUUUACCUCCAGGACCUGUUGCUCUACUGUUCGGCCCUCCGUACAUG
Musa acuminata subsp. malaccensis (wild Malaysian banana) is the source of this 545-nucleotide non-coding RNA. The record is from RefSeq and is a predicted model, not a curated record. Lineage: Eukaryota; Viridiplantae; Streptophyta; Magnoliopsida; Zingiberales; Musaceae.